UAUCAAUGAUGAGGGCAAGCAGUGAUAUACUCCUGGAGUCUCUUCCAUGCUUCAGUAGCGGUCUUGUUAGUGAGCUGAGCAAAGCUAGUGAUCUUGUUGUGCAGCUA
This is a small nucleolar RNA of Phragmites australis (common reed), 107 nucleotides long. Lineage: Eukaryota; Viridiplantae; Streptophyta; Magnoliopsida; Poales; Poaceae. The record is from RefSeq and is a predicted model, not a curated record.